UACGUAGGGUGCGAGCGUUGUCCGGAAUUACUGGGCGUAAAGAGCUCGUAGGCGGUUUGUCGCGUCUGCCGUGAAAGUCCGGGGCUCAACUCCGGAUCUGCGGUGGGUACGGGCAGACUAGAGUGAUGUAGGGGGAGACUGGAAUUCCUGGUGUAGCGGUGAAAUGCGUAGAUAUCGGGAGGAACACCAGUGGCGAAGGCGACUAUCUGGGCUGCAACUGACGCUGAGGCGCGAAGGCUAGGGUAGCAAACAGG
RNAcentral lists this ribosomal RNA (254 nucleotides) under uncultured bacterium. RNAcentral's name for it is "partial 16S ribosomal RNA". It matches the Rfam family "Bacterial small subunit ribosomal RNA", at positions 524 to 776 of the family's 1533-position model. The record is from RNAcentral.